Small nuclear RNA from Echinops telfairi (small Madagascar hedgehog), 160 nucleotides. RefSeq annotates it as U1 spliceosomal RNA. The record is from RefSeq and is a predicted model, not a curated record. Lineage: Eukaryota; Metazoa; Chordata; Mammalia; Afrosoricida; Tenrecidae. The transcript has a single exon.
AAAAGAAAGAGGUGAGAUACCAUGAUCACAAAGGUAGUUUUCUCAGGGUAAGGCUUAUCAACUGUACUCCAGAUAUGGUGACUCCUGGGAUUUCACCAAAUGUGGGAAACUCAAGUACAUAAUUCAUGGCAGUGGAGGACUCUGCUCACACACACCCCUG